ACCCCUCCCCUUCUAUUAAUAUAACAUAAGCAUAAUCAAUUAUUCUAAUACAUCAAACAUUUGUACAGCCCCAAAUCAUGACCGCUAGGUGAAUCCUGACAUUUCCCCCUUUGAGACUAAUUAGUCUCACAGCUUCAAUCAUAAUAUUCUCCUCUGAAAUCAAAUAGAUUAGGCAUAUACCCCGGAUCCAUUUGAUCCCGGGGAUGACCUUCUAAAGGGAGAAACAACUCCUAAGGUUCCUGGAAUGCUGUUGGGGGUGGGUGAAUCUGGCUAUACUCCCAUUCCUCCUGAGUCCUGGGAAGAACCACAGAGUUAAAUAAACAAUGGGAUUAAGAGAAAUUAUAAAUGCACCAGUAUCACCUUCAGCACAAUUUGUAUCAGAUUCCACCAACACCAUCAUUCCAGCAUGUUCAAGAGCAGUUAGUCAUUUUCUUACAAAUAUAAACAGUAACCAAAAUCACCAAACCUACAAGUAUAGGAGUAAACAAAGAAAACAAAGUCAACAUAACUUUUCCCACAUUUCCAAAUUUAACAUUAAACCAGUCACCAAUUUUGUCAAAACCAGAUUUUUAAGUUUUUUAGAGAUUUACUAAGAUCAGCAAUCUUGUCAAUAAUUUCUGUCAUAUUCUCAGGAGUCAGGGAGGAGCAAAACACAAUUUUCAGGAUCAACAAUACCUAGUACGUUAGUGUCCUCCUUCCUUCGCCAAAAGAUAAUCUAAAGCCAACUCAUGGCGGCUGAUAACUGCUUUCAGAUUUUGGACAUCUAAUGAGAGUUGACUGAAUCCUCGGAUCGUUAAAUUCAUAUGGGACUGUAAAAAGUAAGUUAAAUUGUUUACCCACUUUCCUAGGACAGCCACACCCCAGGAGGGUAUGAUUGACAUACCAAAAAUCUCACCCGGGUGUGGGACAUGACAAUAGGCUUUCUGAUUGUCUGAGUUGAGGCAUUUGGCACGCUUCAGUUCCCCAGAGUUGGUUAUACCUGUUUCAUUGAAAAGAUCGGUGACUGGAAUUCUUAAAAUAUACAUUUCUGUUCUCCCCAAAUAUAAACACCCCCCCCCAUCCAGGAGGUAAAGUGAGAUACUUCUUGUCACUACAUACCCACAUCUAUCCAAAAGGUGCUCCCAUGCCUUCUUCUAUCCUGGAAAUGUUUACACCUGUCUCUUGUUACAGUAAAUCUAAUCCCCUUUAGCAUAGUUUCUCCUAUCACUAUACUCUUCUCUCAGUUGACCCAUAUAUACAUGACAAGCUCCAGUAUCUCCCAUAUCUUCCCUCUACCACAUUAGGUAAAUUUGCUCCCUUCUUGUGACCACCCCAACAUACAUGUGUCCCAUAAUCCCCAAAUGUUCAACAGUCUUUCUAGCCAAGCAUUUUAUUAUACCUAAAGCAACAACAAAACACAGUAGUCCUACCAGGAGUGGAACAAUCAUGGCAGACCUGGACAUCAUUACCUUACCCAUCACGUUUCCAAAUACACCAUUAAACCAGUGUCCAAUUUGGUAAAAGAUGGUGUUGACAGCUUUUCCCAGAGUACCUCCUAAUUUAGCCAGGUCAUUAAUAAUAACUGUCAUGUUGUCAGAGGAGUUAGGAAGCAACAUGACACAGUAAUCCUAAUCAUUUAUUCCAAGGGACCUGUAGGCCCCUCUGUCUUUAGCCAAUUUGUGCCAUUUUGUCUCUGGUCACUACUGCCUUCAAAUUCUGCAUAUUUAGUGACAACUGAGUAAAACCCUGUUUUAUGAAAUUAGUAAGGACCUGCAUGGAGUAUGUCAAAUUAUUAAUCCAUUUACCCCAUUACUACAACUUCCCAUGCUGCUUCCUUCCCCCUUUGACCAACAUCAGAAUAGUAUAAUGGCUUUUUCUUUGUCGAGCCCUAGUUUUGUUCCUUUUCAUAAAAUGUAGUAAUCUACAUCCAAAAUCAUUCUUUCCAAUUGGUACUGCCUGGGUUCCCCACAGAAAUGCUGUGGAGGUGGGUUUAUUGAAAAUCAUUACCCGUGUGCCAGAUGUGUUCCCCCUCCCCUGUAAUCCUAUGUAUGUUACUGUUUUCACCCAUUUAUUAUUCUCCACAUCCCCCGUCCACCAUGGAAACGGGUAGGAUUUGGAGAGCAAUAAAUGCCCUGCAUGUGUUUUUCCAUGGUUGCGAUUUUCUUGUUUCACAACCAUAGUGUGUGUGUGUAUGAUGGUUUCCUCGACAUCUGAUGACUCUUCAGGUUCUGUGGCUGAACCCUCUGUUGGUUCUUCUGGCCUGCUUCCUCCUUCAGAUGUCCUCGGGGCCCUGCUCUCCCUCCCUCCAGUCGCUCAUCCAUGGCUUCCAUUCUGGGAGAUAUGAUGCCAGCCGGACCUCUCCUCUACACGCAGGGCUGUUGGUGUUAUCAUGGUUACCUGGAACAGACCCAUCCAUCGUGGUUGACACCCAGCUGGCCUGCAUGAUGAGUGAGAGCAGCAUGGAUUACAUCGCCCGCUUCAACGAUUUGGCACAGGAGCUGGCUGUCACAGAGCCGCACCUCCUGCCACCUUGAGUUUAAAUAGACUGAAGGCGGGUUUAAGAAAUGUCUGUCAGUUGCCCCUCCCACACCUUCAAAAUUGCAAGGACAAAGGGGGGUGGAGAAACACUCCUUCCCCUAUAUAGUUUGUGAAAGAAAGUGCAAUGGUCAUGGCCU
This is a non-coding RNA of Salvelinus sp. IW2-2015, 2654 nucleotides long. The record is from RefSeq and is a predicted model, not a curated record. NCBI's taxonomy places the organism in Eukaryota, Metazoa, Chordata, Actinopteri, Salmoniformes, Salmonidae.